UGGGGAAUUUUGCACAAUGGGCGCAAGCCUGAUCCAGCCAUGCCGCGUGAGUGAUGAAGGCCCUAGGGUUGUAAAGCUCUUUCACCGGUGAAGAUAAUGACGGUAACCGGAGAAGAAGCCCCGGCUAACUUCGUGCCAGCAGCCGCGGUAAUACGGAAGGUUCGGGCGUUAUCCGGAUUUAUUGGGUUUAAAGGGAGCGUAGGCCGUUUGGUAAGCGUGUUGUGAAAUGUAGGAGCUCAACUUCUAGAUUGCAGCGCGAACUGUCAGACUUGAGUGCGCACAACGUAGGCGGAAUUCAUGGUGUAGCGAUGAAAUGCUUAGAUAUCAUGAAGAACUCCGAUUGCGAAGGCAGCUUACGGGAGCGCAACUGACGCUGAAGCUCGAAGGUGCGGGUAUCGAACAGG
This 404-nucleotide ribosomal RNA is filed under the name Verrucomicrobiota bacterium. RNAcentral's name for it is "Verrucomicrobia bacterium partial 16S ribosomal RNA". It matches the Rfam family "Bacterial small subunit ribosomal RNA", at positions 355 to 776 of the family's 1533-position model. Lineage: Bacteria; Pseudomonadati; Verrucomicrobiota. The record is from RNAcentral.